UUCCAAAUUAUUGUUAAGUGAAAAUAAGGUAGUGUUCAUCCAAGCCAACCAGGAAAUGGGCUUAGGAGCGGCCAUUUUUUAAAGACCUCGUAACAGAGCACUGGUUUUAUACAAUUUUGUUGUAUUGUUAGAUGCACCUAAAAUUUAACGGAUCUAAAUAAUAUACCGAGACCUUGUCCAUAAAUAUUUAUAUGUACAAGUUACAUAUAAUAUUUAUGGGGUAGCGGAACAUUGGGCAUAUCUCAGAUUUUUUCUUUUUAAGACUUAAGAUUAGAUGACCCAAGUGAUAAUGCUGACAUGAGUAACGAUAAAGGGUUUAUACCCUCGCCUAAAGCUUAUGGAAUUUACUUAAAGUAACGGCCUCUAAGUUUAAAUUUGCUAUAGUUUAUACAAACAACACUUGAUACCUAACUCUAACAGACGAUACAAGUGCAAAAUAGUAAAAACCUAAUGGUAUAAACGAUGAGAAAAAGCUAAGUUUUACAGGUAUAAAUAGCAUGAGUGUUGCAAGUAAGUAUUAUAUAUAUAACGGAUUUUUUUUUUAUUAAUUAUUUUUAUGCGUUAUUGUCCGUUGCACUCUUUUUGGGGCGUGGAUCCAUCCAUGCCCAACGCCGACGCAUACCAGCCAUUCCACCUAUACCCAGAGCAACCAAUACCCCAAGAGAGUGCAAGGGAUAAGAAGUAAAUUAAAGAAUUAAUAGAAACUAGAAAAAUUAUAGAUUUAAUAGUUAUUUUGUGCUAAAGUGACAAAUGCUCUGGAAAAAUGUAAAACUACUGACGUGUUAGAGAGUUGGCGAGGUUCAACCCCUGUCCAUUAAUAUG
Molecule: ribosomal RNA, 822 nt
Filed under: Rhizocarpon viridiatrum
Lineage: Eukaryota; Fungi; Ascomycota; Lecanoromycetes; Rhizocarpales; Rhizocarpaceae
Description: partial large subunit ribosomal RNA
Rfam family: Bacterial large subunit ribosomal RNA (bases 1-297)
Source: RNAcentral